AACGAACGCUGGCGGCAGGCCUAACACAUGCAAGUCGAUCGCAUCCUUCGGGGUGAGUGGCGCACGGGUGAGUAACACGUGGGAAUGUACCCUUUGGUUCGGAAUAACGUUUGGAAACGAACGCUAAUACCGGAUGAGCCCUACGGGGGAAAGAUUUAUCGCCAAAGGAGCAGCCCGCGUCUGAUUAGCUAGUUGGUGGGGUAAAGGCCUACCAAGGCGACGAUCAGUAGCUGGUCUGAGAGGAUGAUCAGCCACACUGGGACUGAGACACGGCCCAGACUCCUACGGGAGGCAGCAGUGGGGAAUAUUGGACAAUGGGCGCAAGCCUGAUCCAGCCAUGCCGCGUGAGUGAUGAAGGCCUUCGGGUUGUAAAGCUCUUUCGCACGCGACGAUGAUGACGGUAGCGUGAGAAGAAGCCCCGGCUAACUUCGUGCCAGCAGCCGCCGUAA
RNAcentral lists this ribosomal RNA (449 nucleotides) under uncultured bacterium. RNAcentral's name for it is "partial 16S ribosomal RNA". It matches the Rfam family "Bacterial small subunit ribosomal RNA", at positions 29 to 523 of the family's 1533-position model. The record is from RNAcentral.